RNAcentral lists this ribosomal RNA (156 nucleotides) under Triticum aestivum (bread wheat). RNAcentral describes it as "partial small subunit ribosomal RNA". Lineage: Eukaryota; Viridiplantae; Streptophyta; Magnoliopsida; Poales; Poaceae. The record is from RNAcentral.
AUGUUCUCUGUGAAUUCUAAUCUCGUAAACAAAAUCUUUUUUCAGGUCACAGCAUCAACUCCUCUCCCUGCAAUCGAGUCUUCAGAAGGAAUUACCAGGACCGAUUCUUUGCCGUCAGGUUCGGAACCCUUGUCUCCUGUAGCUCAAUCACCUUAG